UAGCUAAACUGUGCCAUAGGUCUAUAUGCCUGAAAGAGCCUGCUUAGUACAUUCGAUGUAAACGCGCCUGUACUAAGGCUUUGGUGCGCACCAAACUUAAUACGCGUAUGAAAGCGCUGAUUGAGAAAUUGUGUUUAUAAAUAACAGAGAUUCAAUAGAUAAGAAUUGAUCAAGAAAAAAAUGAACGUAUGUAUAAUGAACGUAAUAAAUUAUUGAAUUGUUCAAAGGACUUUAUUACAAAAAAAAAUCAAAAAUUACUUGAAAAUAAUCGAUUUGUACCCCCAAGAUGGAUCUACCAUCUUGAAUGUUUUGCCAAUAGGUUAUCCAAUCAUAUAUGCUGUAUAGCAGACCUGAAACUAGUAUUAACAAUACUCUGUUGAAUUUGACUAUAUCUGAUUUAGAAAAAAGACGAAAAAUGCAGUCACCUGUUAUGAAACGGUCAUUUCUGCACAGAAAUGGCACCUACUUCAUCAUAGUACCAUUAAUUAUAGGACUCCACAUAGGUUGGUUUACCUUGCAACAGCGUUAUGUUCCAUUAUCCGACAGACAUGAUCAUCCAAUGGUUAGGUUAUACAAGAAAUUUACGACAUAAUAAUGUAAUGUAUAUAAGUCUUAAUUUGUUAUCGUUAAUAACAUAAUGUUUAUCUUUUAAAAUUACACUCGAAUUAUGGCGAAACAAAUCUGUUUUAUAUUUACAUAUAUGUCUUAUAUUUUUUGUUUCCUCCAAAAUUUUUGUGGGUACCACAGUUUCACAAUAUAAUAUAAAUUUAAUGUACUAUUAAUAUAUAUAGAAUAUUAUAUAUAUUAAUACUAUUAAUAUAUAUAAAUAUAUAUAGAAAUUAGAAUUCUAAUGAAUUCUAAUGAGUGCUGAAAGCUUCAAGUAUUGAAAUAAAUUUUCUUCUUAGUUUA
Molecule: long non-coding RNA, 909 nt
Organism: Monomorium pharaonis (pharaoh ant)
Lineage: Eukaryota; Metazoa; Arthropoda; Insecta; Hymenoptera; Formicidae
Exons: 2
Source: RefSeq, a predicted model, not a curated record